This is a long non-coding RNA of Alligator mississippiensis (American alligator), 1125 nucleotides long. RefSeq lists it as uncharacterized. Lineage: Eukaryota; Metazoa; Chordata; Crocodylia; Alligatoridae. The transcript has 4 exons. The record is from RefSeq and is a predicted model, not a curated record.
CCCUCUCCUUAAAGUAGUUAUUUCAUAAUCCAUUAGUUGAACAUGUGGCUCUUGGAUUGUCCUCUUCAAUCAUCUCUGAACUCCCUUUCCUACUUACUAGGAGACUGUUAAUCUUGUACCGAAGGACUGCUGUUGAUGACCAAUAAAAAAUGUACAGUAAUGGACCUCUCAUCUCUAUUGGUGUGAAUGUGAAGAUAGAACAGAUUGUCCUGGAAGCUGUCCAGCAAAAAGUGGUAUACAGAUAAUUUCAAAGAAAAGACUCAAGCUAUGGCACAAAGGAAUAUAUCCUAAGCUGACUGGAGAUCUCAACAGGCCAUUUGACUUACACAGCAGGUGUUAAAGGUCAUCUAUCAUAGAUCCCCUUUUGUGGUGCAAAGCACUCUCAGAUGAAAUGGCUCUGCUACAAGUGAAGGGUCUGUCCUCAGGGAAUAGUACAUAGACAAAAGAACUGAAUUAGCUUUGAAUUUGAAGCUAAAUAUUACAAAGGGAAACAUCUGGGCUACAAAGGAUAAGGAACUCCGAGAAGAGGAAACAACAAAUACCCUGGAGGCAGAUUCUCUAUUCAGAAGCCUGAAUUGUGCUGCUUUGCUGCUAAAAUUCAUUCUUUUCAAAGUCUAUAUGCAGAAAUUGCAUGUGCAUGAAUAAAAACAGGCCAAGAUAAUACAAUCCUCUAAUAAUGUCCCCUACCAGAGACAACCCACUUCUCAGUUCUGAGCGUGCUAACCACUUGGCAACACAACAGUAUCCCUCUGUGAUGCCAAGCAAGUAUUGUGCAUGUUUAGAUUGAAGAAUUACAUUCCAAAGAAUAUUUAACCUCAAGGAAAAUCAAUACUAAAUGAGUAUGUUCAGCUGUGUAUCUGCCACAGUAAUACUUCACUGUAUUGGCAACUGGGGACCAAUUAGUUUUCUGCAACUGGGUAUGUUUUGAUCUACUCAGCUUCUGGGGUACCACUUCUAUCCAAUACUAUGCUGUUGAAAAAAUGCUCUCUAAUGCUGAUCCAUUUCUGCACAGCAAAACUGACUCGUGGUUUGUUUGUUUUUUUUGCUCAGUACCUUAUUCAUAAACUAAAGCUACAGUCAGGAAUUUGAAAUAAAGUAUGAGAUACAACAGCUUGGAAAAUUGAA